Molecule: long non-coding RNA, 2076 nt
Organism: Macrobrachium nipponense
Lineage: Eukaryota; Metazoa; Arthropoda; Malacostraca; Decapoda; Palaemonidae
Exons: 3
Source: RefSeq, a predicted model, not a curated record
ACUAGGUUAGUCAGAAGUCGUAUGAUCGUAAUGUCAGAAAAAAGCAGUUAUAUAUGUGUCUGUUUGUGCUUCAAACAUGGUGUAUUUGUGGAAAGUUCCAGAAGUUUAAGGAAACUAGUAUGCAUACAUUGGUAUGUCCAUCAGGGCGUGUGAAUAUGCAAUAUAUUUGUAUCAAGAACUCGUUUGUUUAUACUUAAAAUUAGGUUGCGAAUCGGUGAAGCAGACAGAUUGGAAUGCGUAGAGAACAGCUUCGAGUGUUUUGGAAAAUUUGAAACCAUUAGUGAAUUCUUCAGGAUGCCAGAACUAGACAAGUCAAAACAAAAGCCUCUUUGUCAAGAUCGCAGUUGACUUGGUUGGUUAGAAGACAUAUGAUUGUGACGUCAGAAGAAUGCAGUUGCAUGUGAAUGUUAGUUGGUGUGCUAAACAGGAUGUGUACAGGACACGUGGGGAUGGAACGUACAUCGGAAUCCUGAGUGGACUAGCCUGCAUGCAUUUGUACAUCUAUUAGGUUGCGUACAUUUGUACAGGUACAUAAAUGGCAAUGUAAUCCCCUAGUGUGGUGAUUGAUAAGGCAAAUAGAUGACAAAUUUUCGUGGUGGUCGCCAGAGACUUUGGAAAGCCAAGGAGACAUUUAGGAGAUCCAUCGAUAAGGGAAGGACGCCUUUCGAAAACAACCAGCUUCAACCAGCAAGAGAACUAUUCCCCCCACGCAUCCCCAACACCACAACCUUCCUCUCCGGAACACUAACCUCCCAAAUCACAUGACGAAACCCGAAAGGAAGGCAACAGCCGUCGGAACAAUAUCUUUAGGAAGUCCUACGGCAUCUUGCCUUCGGGAGAUGAGAGAAGUGAAAAUGCUGAAGACCUCAGAACAAUAGACAUGCGGUGGACUGAGCGGCAUUAUUUGCGUGAAGGAUUACAAGAGGAGAUGGAUGUCUGGAGCGAAGAAAGUUCCGUCAUUUCAUCCUGGAAUCAAAUAAGCUAAACGAUUCAUCGCCAGUAUAAUCAUUCGCAUCAUCACCGCCAUCAAGUUAAUCGGUGUGCAUUGUCAUUGUCGUCAGCAUCAUUGUUCUUCAUCAUUAUUAUCAUCGUCAUCAAAAUAUUAUCAUGUACAGUAUUACGUUCAUGACCCAUAUUAUCAUCGUCAGUUUUGCUAACUACCAGGAGAAUAUGACUUUUCUUGGAGGCGUCAUUCCUUCCUUCUAAGUAGUUGCAGAGGCCGUUAAUAAGAAAAGCGAUUCAAAGCCUUCAGAGCAUUAUCGUUUUUCUAUUAAACAAACCGGAUUUUAUGAAUUAUGGUUAGAUUUUAAAUCAGGCUGCAGUUUGCUCCUUCCCUUUGACCCCACUGGAUUUUCUUUCAGUUGAUAGUUGGAAGAUUGUUCUAAGUGAUAUCGUAGAACAUGAACUUGAAUCUAUUCAUUAAUAUUGUUCACUUGGCUUUAAAAUAAAACGUGAAUAAAAUAAAGAAAAAAAAAACUACAGGUCGAAAAUAGAAUUAGUCUAGUAUUCGUAAAGAGAAUUCCCAGGCACUGGAUCUAAUUCGCUGUUCGUAUAAAAGGUGAAUGUCCUCCUUCUGUUUUGGAAAAACUAAAGAGAAAGCAACAGGAAAACGGAGCCACUGCGUCACAGCAAGGGUAUAAAUCCGUCAGACCAAGAAAUAUAUAGGGAAAUAUAUCGGAAUUUUCCAUCAUAUUUCAUUGGAACUGACAAGGGGACACGGCCUCUGUCGGAACUCGUUUCAGCGCCAGAAUAACCUUUAGAGGGACACCGGCAGAAAUGUGUAGCAAUUUUGCAUAAGAUGAGGCUUCAGGUGGUUUUAGAAUACGUCACAAGGAAAGGUUGGGAGAAGUCAUAUAUGUACAGAGAGUAUUUUGAUUACCAUGUUACCAUGUUAACGAAAUUUUCAUUCUGCAUACUUUGUGGCUGCCCUCAGUUGCAAACAUCACGCUCUGCACAAAUCUGCAUUUCGUUGUUCAUAACUGGCUUAAAUUAUGUCAGGAUUAUCAGUUUGGUCACAGAAUUGUAAGUCAUUAUGUCCUCAGCAUAUUCGCUGCUCUUGUAAUAAAUCAGUUUCUA